Non-coding RNA from Podarcis lilfordi (Lilford's wall lizard), 77 nucleotides. The record is from the annotation of a GenBank genome assembly. Lineage: Eukaryota; Metazoa; Chordata; Lepidosauria; Squamata; Lacertidae.
GCCAUAGAGAGAGAUAGCUCAGUUGGUAAGCAUGAGACUCAUUCUUCAGGUCGUGGGUUUGAGCCCCAUGUUCGGCA